Molecule: ribosomal RNA, 394 nt
Filed under: uncultured bacterium
Lineage: Bacteria
Description: bacterial SSU rRNA
Rfam family: Bacterial small subunit ribosomal RNA
Source: RNAcentral
GAUGAACGCUAGCGGCAGGCCUAAUACAUGCAAGACGAACGGUAAGUUGAGUAGCAAUACUUAGCCAAGAGUGUCGUACGGGUGCGUAACACGUAUGCAACCUACCCUAUACAGGAGGAUAGCCUAGGGAAACCUGGAUUAACCCUUCAUAGUAUUAUUGGAUGGCAUCAUUUGAUAAUUAAAACUGAGGUGGUAUAGGAUGGGCAUGCGUCUGAUUAGUUAGUUGGCGGGGUAAUGGCCCACCAAGACGAUGAUCAGUAGGGGUUCUGAGAGGAAGAUCCCCCACACUGGCACUGAGAUACGGGCCAGACUCCUACGGGAGCAGCAGUAGGGAAUAUUGGUCAAUGGAUGCAAGUCUGAACCAGCCAUGCCGCGUGCAGGAAGAAGGCCUUCU